Molecule: non-coding RNA, 349 nt
Organism: Pelobates cultripes (western spadefoot toad)
Lineage: Eukaryota; Metazoa; Chordata; Amphibia; Anura; Pelobatidae
Source: the annotation of a GenBank genome assembly
UGUGUUUUACAUUAUGGGCUUAGGUAAGGUCCCCUGCCUGUACAUUAGUGGAGUCGGAUUAGCUGAGCAAGUGUGUUGUCUGAGACAGAGUGCCCCCACUGGGCAGAGGUCCUUCUCAUAGUGGAUCCAGUUGAGCAGUGCAUAUUCUCACUGCCACUGGAGAGAAGGGUCGACAACUUCCUCUCCCUUGUGUUCCCACUGUCACUGGGAAGAAAUAACACUUGUAUUCUCUCCAUGGUACUCACGUCGUUGCUGGGGAGGGACAACACCCUCUUCUCCCAGGCUCUCACACUGCCGUUGGGAAAAGAUGCCGCCUGCAUCCUCUUCAGGUCCGCCUUCAGGUCCACCU